RNAcentral lists this ribosomal RNA (477 nucleotides) under uncultured bacterium. RNAcentral describes it as "partial 16S ribosomal RNA". It matches the Rfam family "Bacterial small subunit ribosomal RNA", at positions 28 to 505 of the family's 1533-position model. The record is from RNAcentral.
GAUGAACGCUAGCGGGAGGCCUAACACAUGCAAGCCGAGCGGUAUUUGUUCUUCGGAACAGAGAGAGCGGCGCACGGGUGCGGAACACGUGUGCAACCUGCCUUUAUCUGGGGGAUAGCCUUUCGAAAGGAAGAUUAAUACCCCAUAAUAUAUUGAGUGGCAUCAUUUGAUAUUGAAAACUCCGGUGGAUAGAGAUGGGCACGCGCAAGAUUAGAUAGUUGGUGAGGUAACGGCUCACCAAGUCAAUGAUCUUUAGGGGGCCUGAGAGGGUGAUCCCCCACACUGGUACUGAGACACGGACCAGACUCCUACGGGAGGCAGCAGUGAGGAAUAUUGGACAAUGGGUUAGCGCCUGAUCCAGCCAUCCCGCGUGAAGGACGACGGCCCUAUGGGUUGUAAACUUCUUUUGUAUAGGGAUAAACCUACUCUCGUGAGAGUAGCUGAAGGUACUAUACGAAUAAGCACCGGCUAACUCCG